RNAcentral lists this long non-coding RNA (731 nucleotides) under Equus asinus (donkey). RNAcentral's name for it is "lncRNA (ENSEASG00005031963.1)". The record is from RNAcentral. Lineage: Eukaryota; Metazoa; Chordata; Mammalia; Perissodactyla; Equidae.
ACUGAGGUCUCCGCUCGACCUCUCCCUGGCCUGUCCUGUUCUGUUAUUGCCAGCAUCCUGGUGGGACAAUUUCAUGGGUGGAAUCAGAGUGCGUUAGAGUAAGAAACCUAAAGAGAUGCUAUUUUCUGCCUAAUCUGUUUUCUCCCCGUGGGUCAAUUUGGCUGCACUUUUAUUUUGAAAUCAAAGAACCUAGAAACAAAUGAGCAAACACCUUAUUAUUGAGAACCAUCUGCAGAAAAUCCCACGGAGCAGCUCCAAGGUCAAAGCUUAUCUGUUUUGCCUCAUGCACAAAACAGCCAGCACCAGGAGACCGGCAGGAUGGGAAAUCACAGAAUCAUAAGAAGUUUGGGUAAAAGGAAGCAUCUUCUUUCAGUUGAAUGUAAAGAUAGUACCUUGUUCCUGUCUUGGCCUCCUUGGAGUGAGGACUCUAAGAGAGGCGAAACAAUUUGCUUAAGUCACACAGCUCUGAAGGAGCAGAACCUAUCUCAACCUGGAUCUACACGAUUCUAGGAGCUGUGUUCUGAACCACUCUCUCUCAUCAAUUACAACAAAUCCUUGAAUGACAAUCCACGGGAGCACGAAUAUAAGUUCCUUGAAAGCAGAGAUUUUGUCUGACUUGAUGACUGCCAUCCCCCCAGGACGCAGAACAGGGGCCAGGUCACGGUCAUCGAUAUGGAGGAAGGAAUCAAAGAUUAUCCCAUGACGGCAUCCACAACAAAUCAGAGGUUUGG